RNAcentral lists this small RNA (115 nucleotides) under Rhodanobacter sp. A1T4. Its description in RNAcentral is "t44 RNA". It matches the Rfam family "t44 RNA". From Rfam's summary of the family: This family consists of a number of bacterial RNA genes of between 135 and 170 bases in length. The t44 gene is found between the map and rpsB genes in all species in the full alignment apart from Shigella flexneri. The record is from RNAcentral. Lineage: Bacteria; Pseudomonadati; Pseudomonadota; Gammaproteobacteria; Lysobacterales; Rhodanobacteraceae.
UCAAUACCCAACCAACGCCACACACGUAUCGGCACCGCCUUCGGGGUGCUGCGCUCGAUCCCUCCACUAUAUGGGACGUUCGCGGUCGAAGUCGGGGGUACGUGGAGGUCCCAAC